GACUUCCGUCCAGCUCGGCAUGGCGGCAGUCACUGCCGUCACUUAGUCGCCGAUCAAGGCUUGGACUAAGGGCCCACGGUCACUCGAGUAGGACUUGGAUCGGAUGCUGAAUAAAACUCACCGUGAAGCAAGUCCCACUGAACGAAAAGUUGGUCGUAGCAUUUCUCAGGGCUUGAUCAGAAAGAAGAGCUCAGAGGAGUGAGGCAACACCAACACCAGGGCGUACGAUACACCCGAGGCUCCUCCGACACCAGUUCCAGCCCGGAAGGGCUUGGAAUGGCCUGCCACGCCGGGGCAAUGGAGCGCGUGAAAGCCAAACCUUGGGACCCGAAGAGUAAUUUGACUGCGAAGGCACCGUCAUCGUCGGGCACCCCCUGUAGACGGGCGCAUAAUAGCUACAUCUCUGGAGAUAGUGAUGGAAACUGGGGUCCGAUAGAUGGAGAGAAGGACGUAGGAUAAGGCUUCUUGUGGGGUGAAGAGGCAGAGGGCACCUGGAGAGAGGUGUGGCAUGGAGAACCAGGGGUUUUCCCUAGCA
Molecule: long non-coding RNA, 535 nt
Filed under: Homo sapiens (human)
Lineage: Eukaryota; Metazoa; Chordata; Mammalia; Primates; Hominidae
Description: HSALNT0388318
Source: RNAcentral